Apodemus sylvaticus (European woodmouse) is the source of this 530-nucleotide non-coding RNA. Lineage: Eukaryota; Metazoa; Chordata; Mammalia; Rodentia; Muridae. The record is from the annotation of a RefSeq genome assembly.
UCCAUACCCUGAAAACAACCCAUGAUCAGUGUCCUCUCCACAGUCACUGAAAACACUGGCUCUAACCAUGGCAUGGACCUGGGACAUUCUCUUCCUCCUGUCAGUCACUGCAGGUGUCCAAUCGCAGGUCCAGCUGCAGCAGUCUGGGGCUGAGCUGGUGAGCCCUGGGGCUUCAGUGAAGCUGUCCUGCAAGGCUUCUGGCUACACCUUCACAAGCAACUGGAUGGGCUGGGUAAAGCAGAGGCCUGGACAGGGCCUUGAAUGGAUUGGAGAGAUUUAUCCUGGAAAUGGCAAAACUAACUACAAUGAGAAGUUCAAGGGCAAGGCCACACUGACUGCUGACACAUCCUCCAGCACAGCCUACAUGCAACUCAACAGCCUGACAUCUGAUGACUCUGCGGUCUAUUACUGUGCAAGACACAGUGUUAUAACCACAUCCUGAGUGUGUCAGAAACCCUGGGGGAUCAGGAAGCUGCCCGAAGAAUGAGAUGACUGAAAUGUUAACCUUUAAACUUGCUCAGAAAUUGUAA